This 486-nucleotide ribosomal RNA is filed under the name uncultured bacterium. RNAcentral's name for it is "partial 16S ribosomal RNA". It matches the Rfam family "Bacterial small subunit ribosomal RNA", at positions 30 to 523 of the family's 1533-position model. The record is from RNAcentral.
AUUGAACGCUGGCGGGAUGCCUAACACAUGCAAGUCGAGCGGGGUAGCAAUAUCCAGCGGCGGACGGGUGAGGAAUACGUAGGAAUUUGACUUUAGGUGGGGGAUAGCUUGGGGAAAAUCAAGGUAAUACCGCAUGAUCUCGCAAGAGCAAAGUGGGGGACCGAAAGGCCUAACGCCUUUAGAGAAGCCUACGUCUGAUUAGCUUGUUGGUGAGGUAAUGGCUCACCAAGGCGACGAUCAGUAACUGGUCUGAGAGGACGAUCAGUCACACCGGAACUGAGACACGGUCCGGACUCCUACGGGAGGCAGCAGUGGGGAAUAUUGGACAAUGGGCGAAAGCCUGAUCCAGCAAUUCCGCGUGUGUGAAGAAGGCCUUCGGGUUGUAAAGCACUUUAGGUUGGGAAGAAAAAGCUUCGGCGAAUAUCCGGAGUGUUGACGGUACCAACAGAAUAAGCACCGGCUAACUCUGUGCAGCAGCCGCAGUAA